UUGAAACGCGAAUAAUGAAGGAAAUAAUGCAUCAACGGUGGGAAAGCCGUGUACACGUUUGUUUAUUCUAAAGAAUAUUAACAAUGUCUCAUCGUUUUAGAACAUUGUUGCUUAUUUUGGAAUUUUCUAGACAUGCCAUGAAUAAAAUUAGUUUCGUGUAGCAUGUUUAUAUUAUAAGUUCAUGUGUGUGUAUGUAUAUUGGGGGUCGAAUAUGCUUUAUAAACUUUGCCUUAAGAGAAAAAAAUAAAAAUAAAAGGAUCGAACAAAAAAGAUGACCAAUUAAAUUAAUAUACGUAUACUUUGAAAUAGAUUCUUGGUUAUCUUUUUAAGUUUUUUAUACAUUCAGGCUGAUGUGUAAAUAUAUUCUCGCACAUAAGAGUUUUUUUCCUAUUGCACUACGUACUAACUUAUACUUCCUUUU
RNAcentral lists this long non-coding RNA (421 nucleotides) under Capsella rubella. RNAcentral's name for it is "long non-coding RNA (CRUB_LNC001202)". Lineage: Eukaryota; Viridiplantae; Streptophyta; Magnoliopsida; Brassicales; Brassicaceae. The record is from RNAcentral.